Molecule: non-coding RNA, 112 nt
Organism: Polychaeton citri CBS 116435
Lineage: Eukaryota; Fungi; Ascomycota; Dothideomycetes; Capnodiales; Capnodiaceae
Source: the annotation of a GenBank genome assembly
GGCAAGAUGGCCGAGUGGUUAAGGCGCUGUGUUUAGGUUACACGUAACCGUGAACAAUCGAAAGAUAUUACCGCAGUGGGAAACCUCGUGGGUUCGAAUCCCACUCUUGUCA